UACGGAGGGUCCAAGCGUUAUCCGGAAUCAUUGGGUUUAAAGGGUCCGUAGGCGGCCUGGUAAGUCAGUGGUGAAAGCCCAUCGCUCAACGGUGGAACGGCCAUUGAUACUGCCAGGCUUGAAUUCCAGGAAGCAACUAGAAUAUGUAGUGUAGCGGUGAAAUGCUUAGAUAUUACAUGGAAUACCAAUUGCGAAGGCAGGUUGCUACUGGUGGAUUGACGCUGAUGGACGAAAGCGUGGGUAGCGAACAGG
RNAcentral lists this ribosomal RNA (252 nucleotides) under uncultured bacterium. RNAcentral's name for it is "partial 16S ribosomal RNA". It matches the Rfam family "Bacterial small subunit ribosomal RNA", at positions 524 to 776 of the family's 1533-position model. The record is from RNAcentral.